CCUACGGGUGGCAGCAGUGAGGAAUAUUGGUCAAUGGACGCAAGUCUGAACCAGCCAUGCCGCGUGCAGGAAGACGGCUCUAUGAGUUGUAAACUGCUUUUGUACGAGGGUAAACCCAAAUACGCGUAUCUGUCUUAAAGUAUCGUACGAAUAAUGAUCGGCUAACUCGGUGCCAGCAGCCGAGGUAAUGCGGAGGAUGCAAGCGUUAUCCGGAUUUAUUGGGUUUAAAGGGUGCGUAGGCGGUCGGUUAAGUUAGAGGUGAAAUCCCGAGGCUCAACCUCGCUCAGCCGUUGAAACUGGCGUUCUUGAGAGGGCGAGAAGUAUGCGGUAUGCGUGGUGUAGCGGUGAAAUGCAUAGAUAUCACGCAGAACUCCGAUUGCGAAGGCAGCAUACCGGCGCCCAACUGACGCUGAAGCACGAAAGCGUGGGUAUCGAACAGGAUUAGAUACCCCAGUAGUC
Molecule: ribosomal RNA, 459 nt
Filed under: uncultured bacterium
Lineage: Bacteria
Description: partial 16S ribosomal RNA
Rfam family: Bacterial small subunit ribosomal RNA
Source: RNAcentral